Molecule: ribosomal RNA, 460 nt
Filed under: uncultured bacterium
Lineage: Bacteria
Description: partial 16S ribosomal RNA
Rfam family: Bacterial small subunit ribosomal RNA
Source: RNAcentral
CCUACGGGUGGCAGCAGUGAGGAAUAUUGGUCAAUGGCCGGAAGGCUGAACCAGCCAUGCCGCGUGAAGGUCAGUGCCCUAUGGGCGUUAAACUUCUUUUGUGCGGGAGCAAUAAUGGUCACGUGUGGCCAGACGAGAGUACCGUACGAAUAAGCAUCGGCUAACUCCGUGCCAGCAGCCGCGGUAAUACGGGGGAUGCAAGCGUUAUCCGGAUUUAUUGGGUUUAAAGGGUGUGUAGGCUGUGAGGUAAGUCAGCGGUGAAAUGCCCCCGCUCAACGGGGUGAAGUGCCAUUGAUACUGCCUGGCUGGAAUGCGGAUGCUGUGGGAGGAAUGUGUGGUGUAGCGGUGAAAUGCAUAGAUAUCACACAGAACACCGAUUGCGAAGGCAUCUCACGAAGCCGCGAUUGACGCUGAUGCACGAAAGCGUGGGUAUCAAACAGGAUUAGAUACCCCUGUAGUC